UCCCUGGCAGUCCAGAGGUUAGGACUCCACACUUCCACUGCAGUGGUCCUGGGUUUGAUCCCUGGUCAGGGAA
RNAcentral lists this transfer RNA (73 nucleotides) under Ovis aries (sheep). It matches the Rfam family "tRNA". From Rfam's summary of the family: Transfer RNA (tRNA) molecules are approximately 80 nucleotides in length. Their secondary structure includes four short double-helical elements and three loops (D, anti-codon, and T loops). The record is from Rfam by way of RNAcentral. Lineage: Eukaryota; Metazoa; Chordata; Mammalia; Artiodactyla; Bovidae.